UACGGGGGGAGCAAGCGUUGUUCGGAUUUACUGGGCGUAAAGGGCGCGUAGGCGGCCAGCACAAGUCAGUUGUGAAAUCUCCGGGCUUAACUCGGAAAGGUCAACUGAUACUGUGCGGCUAGAGUGCAGAAGGGGCAACUGGAAUUCUCGGUGUAGCGGUGAAAUGCGUAGAUAUCGAGAGGAACACCUGCGGCGAAGGCGGGUUGCUGGGCUGACACUGACGCUGAUGCGCGAAAGCCAGGGUAGCAAACGGG
This 254-nucleotide ribosomal RNA is filed under the name uncultured bacterium. RNAcentral describes it as "partial 16S ribosomal RNA". It matches the Rfam family "Bacterial small subunit ribosomal RNA", at positions 524 to 776 of the family's 1533-position model. The record is from RNAcentral.